Long non-coding RNA from Xenopus laevis (African clawed frog), 315 nucleotides. RefSeq lists it as uncharacterized. The record is from RefSeq and is a predicted model, not a curated record. NCBI's taxonomy places the organism in Eukaryota, Metazoa, Chordata, Amphibia, Anura, Pipidae. The transcript has 2 exons.
AGAUCGGAUCAUGUACUGCUUCUUCGCUAGACACUGAAUGAAGCGUGAGAUAUUGAGAAGCUCUCAUCAAAAUAAUGUCUGAAGUUACGUAUUUUUUAAUUGGUGGAUCAAGCAACAUAUGGAAAAUGACAGAAGCACCGGUCACUAACUACAAGUGCUGAGACCCAAAUUGAGGCUGAUGUUCUAAAGAAGUGGAGACAGUGACUAAGUCAAUUCGCACUCAACAACCUUAUUUGUGCCAGGGAACAAAUUUUCCAUAUUUUGGGAACAGUAUGAAAAUACACAGUGCAGGUUAAUAAAUGAGCCUGACAAGUU